This 1491-nucleotide ribosomal RNA is filed under the name uncultured prokaryote. Its description in RNAcentral is "partial 16S ribosomal RNA". It matches the Rfam family "Bacterial small subunit ribosomal RNA". The record is from RNAcentral.
UCACAUUGAACGCUGGCGGCAGGCCUAACACAUGCAAGUCGAGCGGUAACAGAUCUAGCUUGCUAGAUGCUGACGAGCGGCGGACGGGUGAGUAACGCGUAGGAAUUUGCCUAGUAGUGGGGGAUAGCCCAGAGAAAUUUGGAUUAAUACCGCAUACACUCUACGGAGAAAAGCAGGGGAUCUUCGGACCUUGCGCUAUUAGAUAAGCCUGCGUGGGAUUAGCUGGUAGGUAAAGGCUCACCAAGCGACGAUCUCUAGCUGGUCUGAGAGGAUGAUCAGCCACACUGGAACUGAGACACGGUCCAGACUCCUACGGGAGGCAGCAGUGGGGAAUAUUGCACAAUGGGCGCAAGCCUGAUGCAGCCAUGCCGCGUGUGUGAAGAAGGCUUUCGGGUUGUAAAGCACUUUCAGUUGGGAGGAAAAGUUAUAGUUUAAUAAACUAUAGCCCUGACGUUACCAACAACAGAAGAAGCACCUAACUCCGUGCCAGCAGCCGCGGUAAUACGGAGGGUGCAAGCGUUAAUCGGAAUUACUGGGCGUAAAGCGCGCGCAGGUGGUUUGUUAAGCGAGAUGUGAAAGCCCCGGGCUCAACCUGGGAACUGCAUUUCGAACUGACAAACUAGGGUUUUGUAGAGGGUGGUAGAAUUUCAGGUGUAGCGGUGAAAUGCGUAGAGAUCUGAAGGUAUACCAGUGGCGAAGGCGGCCACCUGGACAAUAACUGACGCUCAUGUACGAAAGCGUGGGGAGCAAACGGGAUUAGAUACCCCGGUAGUCCACGCCGUAAACGAUGUCUACUAGCAGCUCGGGUCCUCGGACUUGUUUUGCAAAGCUAACGCAUUAAGUAGACCGCCUGGGGAGGACGGCCGCAAGUUUAAAACUCAAAUGAAUUGACGGGGGCCCGCACAAGCGGUGGAGCAUGUGGUUUAAUUCGAUGCAACGCGAAGAACAUUACCUACACUUGACAUCCAGAGAGCUUACUAGAGAUAGUUUGGUGCCUUCGGGAACUCUGUGACAGGUGCUGCAUGGCUGUCGUCAGCUCGUGUUGUGAAAUGUUGGGUUAAGUCCCGUAACGAGCGCAACCCUUAUCCUUAUUUGCCAGCACGUAAUGGUGGGAACUCUAAGGAGACUGCCGGUGAUAAACCGGAGGAAGGUGGGGACGACGUCAAGUCAUCAUGGCCCUUACGAGUAGGGCUACACACGUGCUACAAUGGCGCAUACAAAGGGCUGCGAACUUGCGAAAGUAAGCGAAUCCCAUAAAGUGCGUCGUAGUCCGGAUUGGGGUCUGCAACUCGACCCCAUGCAGUCGGAAUCGCUAGUAAUCGUAGAUAAGAAUGCCACGGUGAAUACGUUCCAGGGCCUUGUACACACCGCCCGUCACACCAUGGGAGUGGGUUGCACCAGAAGUAGCUAGACUAACCUUCGGGAGGUCGGUUACCACGGUGUGAUUCAUGACUGGGGUGAAGUCGGAACAAGGUAGCCCUACGGGCAAUC